Molecule: long non-coding RNA, 2992 nt
Organism: Mus spicilegus (steppe mouse)
Lineage: Eukaryota; Metazoa; Chordata; Mammalia; Rodentia; Muridae
Source: Ensembl
AUGUCUUCUCCCCCUUCAGCCUCAGCAGGAGCUAGAGCUAUAGGCAUGCGCCACUUUGUCCAGCUUCCAAGCUUUAUUUCUAUGGAUGGACUCAUAAACACAAACUGGCAGAGGAAAGGCAGAGAUGGAGCAAUUUCUCGAGAAGAUAUACCACUUCCUGUUUACCACAGUGAAGAUGUAAAGGCUACCCCUGCCAUAGAACAGCUGACUACGGAACAGCUGACUACACGUGGUACAGAUGGAAAACCUGUUCAGCCAGCUGGCUGGAGAUGUGAAAUCUCUUUUCAACAUGAGUUUUUACAUUUUUUUAACAGGCUCAGCAAGACUUUGACCAGGCUUUUCAAUUAUACUUCAUGUCUGAGGUGGAAUUAAAGGAGCUACAGCCCCCACCAGCUUUGUCUAAGGAGAUAACCAAAAAGGAAGAGCUUGGGCAAAGGUGGGGCAUCCCAAUGUAUUCCAGUUGUUUCAUAAUUUCAGUCUCUCUAUUUGUGGCAGAGUCCAACAAACAAUAAUGAAGACACUCAAUGCAAUUGAAGACUGCACAAAGGCUAAUUACUAAAGACCCCUCUUUUCUCUCUCCCUUUUUUCUCCCCUUUUCUCUCUUGUUCUUUCUUCCUUCCUUCCUUCCUUCCUUCCUUCCUUCCUUCCUUCCUUCCUUCCUUCCUUCCUCCCUUCCUUCCUUCCUUCCUUCCUUCCCUUUCUUUCUUUCCUUUUGCUUUUUUUUUGGUGUAUGCUGGUGUCUACAUGUUCACAUAUGUGCUGGUGAACAUGUUGUAUGUGGCCCUAUAUGUAUGUACAUAUGCAUGUAGAAGCCAGAGAUCAACUUUAAGUAUUAUUCCUUAGGAGUAGACUACCUUGUUUUGAGGUAGGGUCUCUUACUAAGACCUGGAGCUCACUGGUUUGGUUCGACUGCCUGACCAACAAGUCUCAGGGAUCACCGUGUUUCUGCCUCUCCGGCACUGGUAUUACAAGUAUGCCAUUGUGUGCAGCUUCUUGGGGGGGUUGGAAACUCAUGUCUUUAUGCUUGAAUGUUAGGCAUUUACUGACGAAAGUAUCUCGCAAGUCCCCUUUUCUUUUUCCUACUACCUUUGCCAAUUUUUUGUUUGUUUGUUUCAAGACAGGAUGUUUCUGAAUCCAUGGCUGUCCUGGAGCUUGCUUUGUACACCAGGCUGGAGUCAAACUCAGAGAUCUGCCCAAGUCUGCUGUGAUUAGAAGUGUUUGUCACCACACCCAUGUCCACUUCCCAAGUACUGACAUUAAAAGUACAUGCUACCACACUUGGCUCUUUUCAGGAGUUCUAGGAAUCAAAUUUUGAUCCUCAUGCUUGUGUAAUAAGCACAAUACUAAAUUAACCAUCUCCCCUGCCCUGUAUGGAGAAAGAAGUUCCAGAAUGUUUAUGUGUGAAUAUUGUAUUCCCUAUAAAGUUAGACCAGAGAGGUAUAACUUCAGAGAUGUUACCGGAGCAAAAUGGAGAAAUGUGUGAGGAAUUUGGCAAGAAUUUAUCUGGAUGUUUAAGAUUUCAUAAGAGAUGCCAAAAAAAGUCACAAUUACCUAUCUUAAGGUAAAUAAUUAUUGUUUUAUCAUGUCUUUCAUGUGCAUGCAUUGCUGUGUUCAUGUACAUGGGUACCUGUGUACACAUAAGCCUGUGCAUUCAAAGAUCAGAGGACAACCUUAGGUGUAAUUCUCAGGUGAUAUUUACUGUUUUGUUUGUUUGAGACAUGGUUUUUGUUGUUGUUGUUGUUUGUUUGUUUGUUUGUUUGUUUUCAAGACAGGGUUUCUCUGUGUAGCCCUGGCUGUCCGGGAACUCACUUUGUAGACCAGGCUGACCUCGAACUCAGAAAUCCGCCUGCCUCUGCCUCCCAAGUGCUGGGAUUAAAGGCAUGAACCACCACCACCUGGCGAGACAUGGUUUUUUUAAAACUAGCCUGGAACUCACCAAGUAUUCUUAUUGGCUAGCCAGUGAGCUGCAAGUCUUAUUUUCUCCAGUGUGGGAAUUAUAAGCACUACCAUGUCUGGCUUUUAAAAACUGAGUUCUGAAAAUUGGACUCAGGUCUUUAUGCUUGCCUAGCAAGCUGUUAGCAAUUGAGCUAGCUCCUGGCCCCGUUUUUGCACUCUUGAUUCUAAGGGUGUUCCUUAUAAAGGUUUACAAAUAAUUACUCAUCCAAUAUAUGUAACUAAUUCUUUAAUUUUCCUCAAUUCCAUUACUGUGGAUUUUUUGUAUGUAUAUGACAAUUAAACUAGGUUAGCUUUCUUUUACUAGUAAGAUAAAGAAAAUCCACUGAUGAAGGAAAACUUCUCAUUGAAUUGGAAGGUAAUGUUUAGAUAAUGGCAUAAUUUUGGGAAACUAUAGUCCAGUUAGGUUAAUUACUUCAUUAGUAUUUAAAUAGGGAAAGUGGCUCUUUCUAAGAAGUCCCAGAAAUUGAGAGGGGGGAGUGGAUGGGGGAAAGCUCUAUCUAUCCGUGAUCUUCCCAUGGCUUUCCAGCUUUUCGCCACUUCCUCAUUGCUGUCUUUCCUUUAACUCCCUCCAAGCCCAGAGACAGACUGUAAAUUUCUAGCCUCCUCCUUUAAGUCGUUAGCCACACUUUCAAGUAUUCCUUACAGGGCCUUUAUAAAACUGUUAUGCUAUUAAAAACCAGGAACUAACACUGAGAUGUUACAAGAAAAAAAAAUCACAGCCAUGCAAGCCUUACAGUCUUCUCAGGAGUAGGAGAAUGACAGUGGCUCAGACCAGAGGCAGAAUGACUUUUUUAGGGCAAAUGAGAAAGUGAUGUAAAAAACCCCAGAACUUUGCAGUAUUUUUGUGAUCAUGGGAAAGGUAUAUGUUAUGGGGUAUGGUCAGAAAUGUUAUGGGUUUUAAGUCAGAGAGUUACAUACCAUGAAACAUUAUAUGGUUAGUCAAUUCUCAGAACAAUGGAAACAAUUUACAAUGUGAAGUUCAAAAGAUUAUUGGGGAAGAACAAAAAUAAAUAAAAUUGACCUCUAGCUAAGGACA